This 237-nucleotide ribosomal RNA is filed under the name uncultured bacterium. RNAcentral describes it as "partial 16S ribosomal RNA". It matches the Rfam family "Bacterial small subunit ribosomal RNA", at positions 96 to 334 of the family's 1533-position model. The record is from RNAcentral.
CGGCGGACGGGUGAGUAACGCGUGGGUAACCUACCCUGUACACACGGAUAACAUACCGAAAGGUAUGCUAAUACGGGAUAAUAUAUUUGAGAGGCAUCUCUUGAAUAUCAAAGGUGAGCCAGUACAGGAUGGACCCGCGUCUGAUAGCUAGUUGGUAAGGUAACGGCUUACCAAGGCGACGAUCAGUAGCCGACCUGAGAGGGUGAUCGGCCACAUUGGAACUGAGACACGGUCCAA